AUUGAACGCUGGCGGCAUGCCUUACACAUGCAAGUCGAACGGUAACGGGCCUUCGGGUGCCGACGAGUGGCGCACGGGUGAGUAAUACAUCGGAGCGUGCCCGAUCGUGGGGGAUAACGAGGCGAAAGCUUUGCUAAUACCGCAUACGAUCUACGGAUGAAAGCAGGGGACCGCAAGGCCUUGCGCGGACGGAGCGGCCGAUGGCAGAUUAGGUAGUUGGUGGGAUAAAAGCUUACCAAGCCGACGAUCUGUAGCUGGUCUGAGAGGAUGAUCAGCCACACUGGGACUGAGACACGGCCCAGACUCCUACGGGAGGCAGCAGUGGGGAAUUUUGGACAAUGGGCGCAAGCCUGAUCCAGCCAUGCCGCGUGCAGGAUGAAGGCCUUCGGGUUGUAAACUGCUUUUGUACGGAACGAAAAGCCUUCUUUUAAUACAGGAGGGUCAUGACGGUACCGUAAGAAUAAGCACCGGCUAACUACGUG
RNAcentral lists this ribosomal RNA (482 nucleotides) under uncultured bacterium. Its description in RNAcentral is "partial 16S ribosomal RNA". It matches the Rfam family "Bacterial small subunit ribosomal RNA", at positions 30 to 507 of the family's 1533-position model. The record is from RNAcentral.